RNAcentral lists this ribosomal RNA (443 nucleotides) under uncultured bacterium. RNAcentral's name for it is "partial 16S ribosomal RNA". It matches the Rfam family "Bacterial small subunit ribosomal RNA", at positions 338 to 795 of the family's 1533-position model. The record is from RNAcentral.
CCUACGGGUGGCAGCAGUGGGGAAUAUUGGGCAAUGGGCGCAAGCCUGACCCAGCAACGCCGCGUGAAGGAAGAAGGCUUUCGGGUUGUAAACUUCUUUUCUCAGGGACGAAGCAAGUGACGGUACCUGAGGAAUAAGCCACGGCUAACUACGUGCCAGCAGCAGCGGUAAUACGUAGGUGGCAAGCGUUAUCCGGAUUUACUGGGUGGAAAGGGCGUGUAGGCGGGCAAGCAAGUCAGAUGUGAAAACCAUGGGCUCAACCUGUGGCCUGCAUUUGAAACUGUUUUUCUUGAGUACUGGGGAGGCAGACGGAAUUCCUAGUGUAGCGGUGAAAUGCGUAGAUAUUAGGAGGAACACCAGGGGCGAAGGCGGUCUACUGGACAGCAACUGACGCUGAGGCGCGAAAGCGUGGGGAGCAAACAGGAUUAGAUACCCUGGUAGUC